GGUGGCUCAGUGGUAGAGUGCUUGCCUAGCACGCAUGAAGCCCUGGGUUCGAUUCCUCAGUACCA
This is a non-coding RNA of Dipodomys ordii (Ord's kangaroo rat), 65 nucleotides long. NCBI's taxonomy places the organism in Eukaryota, Metazoa, Chordata, Mammalia, Rodentia, Heteromyidae. The record is from Rfam.